This 447-nucleotide ribosomal RNA is filed under the name uncultured bacterium. RNAcentral describes it as "bacterial SSU rRNA". It matches the Rfam family "Bacterial small subunit ribosomal RNA", at positions 355 to 825 of the family's 1533-position model. The record is from RNAcentral.
UGGGGAAUCUUGGACAAUGGGCGCAAGCCUGAUCCAGCCAUGCCGCGUGGAUGAUGAAGGCCUUAGGGUUGUAAAAUCCUUUCGCCGAGGACGAUAAUGACGGUACUCGGAGAAGAAGCUCCGGCUAACUUCGUGCCAGCAGCCGCGGUAAUACGAAGGGGGCUAGCGUUGUUCGGAUUUACUGGGCGUAAAGCGCGUGUAGGCGGGUCGUUAAGUCAGAGGUGAAAUCCCGGAGCUCAACUUCGGAACUGCCUUUGAUACUGGCAAUCUAGAGUCCGGAAGAGGUUAGUGGAAUUCCCAGUGUAGAGGUGAAAUUCGUAGAUAUUGGGAAGAACACCAGUGGCGAAGGCGGCUAACUGGUCCGGUACUGACGCUGAGGUGCGAAAGCGUGGGGAGCAAACAGGAUUAGAUACCCCAGUAGUCCCUGAGCGGGCUGGCAAGGCGCAU